CCAGCUCCAAUAGCGUAUAUUAAAGUUGUUGCAGUUAAAAAGCUCGUAGUUGGAUUUCUGGUUUGAGCGUCCGGUCGACCUAGUGUCAGUACUAUGGAUGUUUGAGCCAUAUUUUGUGAGGAUGCCUUUCUGCCAUUGAGUUGGUGGUUGGGUGGACUUGCAUCUUUUACUGUGAAAAAAUUAGAGUGUUUAAAGCAGGCGUUUGCUCAUUGAAUACAUUAGCAUGGAAUAAUAAGAUACGACCUUGGUCUAUUUUGUUGGUUUGCAACCCAGGGUAAUGAUUAAUAGGGACAGUUGGGGGUAUUCAUAUUUCAACGUCAGAGGUGAAAUUCUUGGAUCGUUGAAAGAUGAGCUUAGGCGAAAGCAUUUACCAAGGAUGUUUUCA
Molecule: ribosomal RNA, 385 nt
Filed under: uncultured Aphanomyces
Lineage: Eukaryota; Oomycota; Saprolegniomycetes; Saprolegniales
Description: SSU rRNA
Rfam family: Eukaryotic small subunit ribosomal RNA
Source: RNAcentral